RNAcentral lists this ribosomal RNA (1812 nucleotides) under Staphylococcus capitis. Its description in RNAcentral is "partial 23S ribosomal RNA". It matches the Rfam family "Bacterial large subunit ribosomal RNA", at positions 24 to 1861 of the family's 2925-position model. Lineage: Bacteria; Bacillati; Bacillota; Bacilli; Caryophanales; Staphylococcaceae. The record is from RNAcentral.
GUGGAUGCCCUGGCAGUCAGAGGCGAUGAAGGACGUGCUAAUCUGCGAUAAGCGUCGGUAAGGUGAUAUGAACCGUUAUAACCGGCGAUUUCCGAAUGGGGAAACCCAGUGUGUUUCGACACACUAUCAUUAACUGAAUCCAUAGGUUAAUGAGGCGAACCGGGGGAACUGAAACAUCUAAGUACCCCGAGGAAAAGAAAUCAACCGAGAUUCCCCCAGUAGCGGCGAGCGAACGGGGAGCAGCCCAGAGUCUGAAUCAGUGUGUGUGUUAGUGGAAGCGUCUGGAAAGGCGCGCGAUACAGGGUGACAGCCCCGUACACAAAAAUGCACAUGCUGUGAGCUCGAUGAGUAGGGCGGGACACGUGGUAUCCUGUCUGAAUAUGGGGGGACCAUCCUCCAAGGCUAAAUACUCCUGACUGACCGAUAGUGAACCAGUACCGUGAGGGAAAGGCGAAAAGAACCCCGGCGAGGGGAGUGAAAAAGAACCUGAAACCGUGUACGUACAAGCAGUGGGAGCACGCUUAGGCGUGUGACUGCGUACCUUUUGUAUAAUGGGUCAGCGACUUAUAUUCUGUAGCAAGGUUAACCGAAUAGGGGAGCCGAAGGGAAACCGAGUCUUAACUGGGCGUUAAGUUGCAGGGUAUAGACCCGAAACCCGGUGAUCUAGCCAUGGGCAGGUUGAAGGUUGGGUAACACUAACUGGAGGACCGAACCGACUAAUGUUGAAAAAUUAGCGGAUGACUUGUGGCUGGGGGUGAAAGGCCAAUCAAACCGGGAGAUAGCUGGUUCUCCCCGAAAGCUAUUUAGGUAGCGCCUCGUGAACUCAUCUCCGGGGGUAGAGCACUGUUUCGGCAAGGGGGUCAUCCCGACUUACCAACCCGAUGCAAACUGCGAAUACCGGAGAAUGUUAUCACGGGAGACACACGGCGGGUGCUAACGUCCGUCGUGAAGAGGGAAACAACCCAGACCGCCAGCUAAGGUCCCAAAGUCAUGGUUAAGUGGGAAACGAUGUGGGAAGGCCCAGACAGCCAGGAUGUUGGCUUAGAAGCAGCCAUCAUUUAAAGAAAGCGUAAUAGCUCACUGGUCGAGUCGGCCUGCGCGGAAGAUGUAACGGGGCUAAACCAUGCACCGAAGCUGCGGCAGCGACGCUUAUGCGUUGUUGGGUAGGGGAGCGUUCUGUAAGCCUGUGAAGGUGUGCUGUGAGGCAUGCUGGAGGUAUCAGAAGUGCGAAUGCUGACAUAAGUAACGAUAAAGCGGGUGAAAAGCCCGCUCGCCGGAAGACCAAGGGUUCCUGUCCAACGUUAAUCGGGGCAGGGUGAGUCGACCCCUAAGGCGAGGCCGAAAGGCGUAGUCGAUGGGAAACAGGUUAAUAUUCCUGUACUUGGUGUUACUGCGAAGGGGGGACGGAGAAGGCUAUGUUGGCCGGGCGACGGUUGUCCCGGUUUAAGCGUGUAGGCUGGUUUUCCAGGCAAAUCCGGAAAAUCAAGGCUGAGGCGUGAUGACGAGGCACUACGGUGCUGAAGCAACAAAUGCCCUGCUUCCAGGAAAAGCCUCUAAGCAUCAGGUAACAUCAAAUCGUACCCCAAACCGACACAGGUGGUCAGGUAGAGAAUACCAAGGCGCUUGAGAGAACUCGGGUGAAGGAACUAGGCAAAAUGGUGCCGUAACUUCGGGAGAAGGCACGCUGAUAUGUAGGUGAAGUCCCUUGCGGAUGGAGCUGAAAUCAGUCGAAGAUACCAGCUGGCUGCAACUGUUUAUUAAAAACACAGCACUGUGCAAACACGAAAGUGGACGUAUACGGUGUGACGCCUG